This 567-nucleotide ribosomal RNA is filed under the name uncultured bacterium. RNAcentral's name for it is "bacterial SSU rRNA". It matches the Rfam family "Bacterial small subunit ribosomal RNA", at positions 338 to 916 of the family's 1533-position model. The record is from RNAcentral.
CCUAUGGGAGGCAGCAGUGGGGAAUUUUCCGCAAUGGGCGAAAGCCUGACGGAGCAAUACCGCGUGAGGGAGGAAGGCUCUUGGGUUGUAAACCUCUUUUCUUAGGGAAGAACAAAAUGACGGUACCUAAGGAAUAAGCAUCGGCUAACUCCGUGCCAGCAGCCGCGGUAAUACGGAGGAUGCAAGCGUUAUCCGGAAUGAUUGGGCGUAAAGCGUCCGCAGGUGGUUUUGUAAGUCUAUUGUUAAAGCGUCUGGCUCAACCAGAUAAUGGCGGUGGAAACUACAAGACUAGAGUACGUUCGGGGUCAGAGGGAAUUCCUGGUGUAGCGGUGAAAUGCGUAGAGAUCAGGAAGAACACCGGUGGCGAAAGCGCUCUGCUAGGCCGUAACUGACACUGAGGGACGAAAGCUAGGGGUAGCGAAUGGGAUUAGAUACCCCCAGUAGUCCUAGCCGUAAACGAUGGAUACUAGGCGUGGCUUGUAUCGACCCGAGCCGUGCCGUAGCUAACGCGUUAAGUAUCCCGCCUGGGGAGUACGCACGCAAGUGUGAACCUUAAUGAAUUGACGG